Molecule: unclassified non-coding RNA, 218 nt
Filed under: Hevea brasiliensis (rubber tree)
Lineage: Eukaryota; Viridiplantae; Streptophyta; Magnoliopsida; Malpighiales; Euphorbiaceae
Source: RNAcentral
GCGGUCGAGGUGCGGGUCGAGCUCGUAGAGGUGGCCGUCGAGGAUCAUGGCGGUGUCGAACACGCCGUGGCCGCGGUGGACCAUGUGGUCGUCGAGCGGGACGGACAUCAUCGCCGGGUCCAGGAUGAUGCCGCCGAGCACGCUCGAGUACAUCGCCGGGAACGGCGCCGCCGUCGACUUCCAUUUCUCCUGCAGCUUCUGGACGAUCUCUGCUCCAG